UUAAUUGAAACCAAAAUAGAGGUAUAUCACUGUUAAUGAUAAAACUGAGUCAUCUCUCCGAUUAAG
RNAcentral lists this transfer RNA (66 nucleotides) under Serica brunnea. RNAcentral's name for it is "tRNA-Asn". Lineage: Eukaryota; Metazoa; Arthropoda; Insecta; Coleoptera; Scarabaeidae. The record is from RNAcentral.